Long non-coding RNA from Lycium barbarum (goji berry), 431 nucleotides. RefSeq lists it as uncharacterized. The transcript is spliced from 3 exons. Lineage: Eukaryota; Viridiplantae; Streptophyta; Magnoliopsida; Solanales; Solanaceae. The record is from RefSeq and is a predicted model, not a curated record.
CUAAGAGGGUUUCAGCUAGAGAGAGGAAGAGAAAGAAAAAAAUUUAGCUCAUCAAUUCUUGGUCCAAAAAUCAUAAUCUUCUAGUUUUCCUAUUAAGUUGGAAACCCUCUUCAAUGUGAUACAAAUUUGGAAGCAAAAGAGUACUUUUUUUACAAAGUGGAAAUUCUUGAAGAAAAGGAUUCUGAGCGAAACGGGAUUUGAGUUUUGGACGAGCGUAAGACGUAUAUAAGGUACAGAUACCAGUGAUCCACCACUGUAGGCUCCACUUUCUGCUAUUUCGGAGUACUCCCUUUUGAUCCGGAGUCCACUUUUGGUACAUACAUCUUUUGCUAUGUAUAUACUUCUGUAUAUCUGACUAUUUGGGUACGGCGGGGCCCUGUCCCGUCAUAUGUCUUCGUUUUGGAUUUGUAGAGGCCUGUAGUCAUAUAUGU